GACGAACGCUGGCGGCGUGCCUAAUACAUGCAAGUCGAACGCUUCUUUCCUCCCGAGUGCUUGCCCUCAAUUGGAAAGAGGAGUGGCGGACGGGUGAGUAACACGUGGGUAACCUACCCAUCAGAGGGGGAUAACACUUGGAAACAGGUGCUAAUACCGCAUAACAGUUUAUGCCGCAUGGCAUAAGAGUGAAAGGCGCUUUCGGGUGUCGCUGAUGGAUGGACCCGCGGUGCAUUAGCUAGUUGGUGAGGUAACGGCUCACCAAGGCCAGGAUGCAUAGCCGACCUGAGAGGGUGAUCGGCCACACUGGGACUGAGCCACGGCCCAGACUCCUACGGGAGGCAGCAGUAGGGAAUCUUCGGCAAUGGACGAAAGUCUGACCGAGCAACGCCGCGUGAGUGAAGAAGGUUUUCGGAUCGUAAAACUCUGUUGUUAGAGAAGAACAAGGACGUUAGUAACUGAACGUCCCCUGACGGUAUCUAACCAGAAAGCCACGGCUAACUACGUG
Molecule: ribosomal RNA, 508 nt
Filed under: uncultured bacterium
Lineage: Bacteria
Description: partial 16S ribosomal RNA
Rfam family: Bacterial small subunit ribosomal RNA
Source: RNAcentral